AUGAUCAUCUCCUCACAUGUCUUUCCUAAUAAAUUCCAUCUGAGCAUCGUGAAUCCUUCAUUCCAGCGAUUCUUUCUUUUCUAAAACCCUAGAUCUGAUGAGCCAGUACUGUUAACAGGUCUGCGUUUUUUUCCUUUUUAUUGGUGGUAUCAUCUUUUAAUGUGUAUGUCACUGGAGGUGGGUUCCAUGGGGUCACGUUUGAAUCUGUUGAUGUUAAUGCUUUGAGCGAAGCGUAUUUACGAUUGAUUAGAUAGUUAGGGUUUUUGUGAAUCCAUAAGUCCAUAACAUUCGGAUAAGGUUUCGUACUGAAUUGAUAUUUAGGUUUGAAUCUAUUGGUGUUAGUAUGUUGAGCCGUGAGCGAAACGAAUCUACGUUCAAAUACGAUUACAUAGUUAGGGUUUCUUUGAACAAAAAAAGUUUGGAUUAGGUCUGAUACUGAAAUGAUAGUAUAUUUGUUUAAAUGUGUACAUCAUUAAUUUGUAAGUCGUAAUGAGAUGAGAUUUUUUUUUAUAUGGAG
Molecule: long non-coding RNA, 517 nt
Filed under: Helianthus annuus (common sunflower)
Lineage: Eukaryota; Viridiplantae; Streptophyta; Magnoliopsida; Asterales; Asteraceae
Source: RNAcentral